RNAcentral lists this ribosomal RNA (465 nucleotides) under uncultured bacterium. RNAcentral's name for it is "partial 16S ribosomal RNA". It matches the Rfam family "Bacterial small subunit ribosomal RNA", at positions 28 to 507 of the family's 1533-position model. The record is from RNAcentral.
GACGAACGCUGGCGGCGUGCUUAACACAUGCAAGUCGAACGGAAAGGCCCCUUUGGGGGUCCUCGAGUGGCGAACGGGUGAGUAACACGUGAGUAACCUGCCCUUGACUUCGGGAUAACUUCAGGAAACUGGGGCUAAUACCGGAUAGGAAUCCUUGCUGCAUGGUGGGGGUUGGAAAGCUUCGGCGGUUUUGGAUGGACUCGCGGCUUAUCAGCUUGUUGGUGGGGUAGUGGCUUACCAAGGCUUUGACGGGUAGCCGGCCUGAGAGGGCGACCGGCCACAUUGGGACUAAGAUACGGCCCAGACUCCUACGGGAGGCAGCAGUGGGGAAUAUUGCACAAUGGGCGGAAGCCUGAUGCAGCAACGCCGCGUGCGGGAUGACGGCCUUCGGGUUGUAAACCGCUUUCAGCAGGGGCGAAGCUUGUGGUGACGGUACCUGCAGAAGAAGCACCGGCUAACUACGUG